RNA transcript from Stegostoma tigrinum, 2567 nucleotides. It is a transcript of the gene named embryonic ectoderm development, with no coding region annotated. The record is from RefSeq and is a predicted model, not a curated record. NCBI's taxonomy places the organism in Eukaryota, Metazoa, Chordata, Chondrichthyes, Orectolobiformes, Stegostomatidae. The transcript has 14 exons.
AAAGGCCAUCCUCGACGUUCACGUAAUCGGAUGGGUUUUGUUUUGCGACAGUCGGUAGCGCGCACGUGACUUUGUGACAACGCCAGGCUCCGCUUUGCGGAUAAUGUCGGAAAGUGCGGCGCGAGGGGACAUGCCGACUAAGAGACAGAAAUUGAGCGAUGAGAACAGUAACCCGGACGUUUCCGGGGAUGAAAAUGAUGAUGCUGCCAGUAUAGAGAGUGGUACAAACACUGAGAGACCAGAUACCCCUACAAACACACCGAAUGUUCCUGGAAGGAAGAGCUGGGGGAAGGGCAAGUGGAAAUCCAAGAAAUGCAAAUAUUCCUUUAAAUGUGUCAACAGUCUUAAGGAGGACCAUGGUCAACCACUUUUUGGAGUGCAGUUCAACUGGCAUAGUAAGGAAGGCGAUCCUUUGGUAUUUGCCACAGUCGGUAGCAAUCGGGUCACACUUUAUGAAUGCCAUUCGCAAGGGGAAAUACGGUUAUUACAGUCAUAUGUAGAUGCUGAUACAGAUGAAAACUUCUAUACGUGUGCAUGGACCUAUGACAGUAAUACAAGCCAUCCUCUGUUGGCUGUGGCAGGAUCCAGGGGCAUCAUCCGAAUUAUUAAUCCUAUCUCCAUGCAGUGCAUUAAGCACUAUGUUGGACAUGGAAAUGCAAUCAACGAACUGAAAUUUCAUCCCAGAGAACCAAAUCUUCUGCUUUCUGUAAGCAAAGAUCAUGCUUUAAGAUUUUGGAACAUACAAACAGAUACUUUAGUGGCAAUAUUUGGAGGUGUGGAAGGACAUCGAGAUGAGGUGCUGAGUGCAGAUUUUGAUCUUCUUGGAGAAAAAAUAAUGUCUUGUGGGAUGGAUCAUUCCCUUAAAUUGUGGCGAAUCAACUCCGAAAGGAUGCUAAAAGCUAUUAAGGCAUCAAAUGAAUAUAACCCAAGCAAAACUAACAGGCCAUUUGUGUCUCAGAAAAUACAUUUUCCAGAUUUCUCCACAAGAGACAUACAUAGGAAUUAUGUGGACUGUGUGCGCUGGCUUGGAGAUUUAAUAUUGUCUAAGUCUUGUGAAAAUGCCAUUGUAUGCUGGAAGCCUAGCAAAAUGGAGGACGACAUUGAUAGAAUAAAGCCAAAUGAAUCAAAUGUGACCAUACUGGGGAGAUUCGAUUAUAGUCAGUGUGAUAUCUGGUAUAUGAGAUUUUCAAUGGAUUUCUGGCAGAAGAUGCUGGCUUUAGGUAAUCAAGUUGGAAAGCUCUACGUAUGGGACCUUGAAGUGGAGGAUCCUCAUAAGGCAAAAUGUACAACACUGGCUUAUCCAAAAUGCACUGCGGCCAUACGACAAACCAGUUUUAGCAGAGAUAGCAGUAUUCUAAUCGCCGUAUGUGAUGAUGCAACCAUCUGGCGCUGGGACCGACUUCGAUAAACAAUAUUAAUCAUGUUCCAAAUUUAAUUAAACUCCAUCUGCCAUCUCUCUGCCCAAGUCACCAACUGAUCUAUAUCCAGCUGUAUCCUUUUACGGUCCUCAUCGCUAUCCACAAUUCCACCAACCUUUGUGUCAUCGGCAAACUUACUAAUAAGACCAGUUACAUUUGCUUCAACAUCAUUUAUAUAAAUUACAAACAGUAAAGGUCCCAACUCUGAUCCCUGAGGAAUGCUACUGGACACAGCCCUCCAUUCAGAAAUGUACCCUUCUACUGCUACCCUGUUAUUCUCUGACCUUGCCGGUUUUUUUUUAAUCCAUCUGGCAAGCUCACCCCAGACUUGUGUGACUUUACCUUCUGUGUCAGUCUGCCUUGAGGGACCUUGUCAAAGGCCAUAAUGAAGUUUAAGUAGACAACAUCUCUACCCUUGUUGAUCAUCUUCAUCACUUCUUCAAAAAAAAAACUCCAGAGUUGGUGAGACAUGACCUCCCCUUCAAAAAACCCACUGCAGGUUCAAUACCCAUUCCAGGAACUUAAGAACAUAACAUAAAUUUUGUCUGACACUCCAGUGUGGUACUGAGGGAGUGCAGCACUGUUGGAGGUGCUGUCUUUCAGAUGAGAUAUUGGAUCAAGAUGCUGUUUGCCACUUCUGGUAAAUCUACAUGUUUCCAUUGCACCAUUCGUUCAAGACCAGGGGAGAUAUCCUUCCUGUUAUGGCUAUAAUUUAUUGCUCAACUAACAUCACAAACAUCAAUUAUCAAGUCAUUACUAUUUGCUGAGCCCAAAUUGAUGUCAUGUUUCCUACAUUGUGGCUGUACAGGGCUUUGUACUACGUUGAGGCCAUGGAAUGUGCUAUAUGAAACUGUAAGAAAUAGGGGGUCUAGGCUAUUCGUACCAUAGAGGCAAUUCUGACAUUGAAUCAAGUUGUGGAUUUGUGGCUGAUCUGAUCGUGGUUUCAACAAUAUUUUUCGUGCAAGUCUUCACUCGCUUGCCAAUCAAAAAUUGGUUAAACUCAAUCUUCAAUAUAUUCAAUGAAACAUCCUCCACUGCUCUAGAAUUUAACAUGUGGACAUCACCCAAACCGUAACCCUAAAAUAUGGAACAGAAAAAUGGAAAUUAGGACUAGGGUGAAGAAUUCCUUUUCCCUCUGCCAGACUGAGC